UCCCUUUUCCCCGUUCUUGACGUCAUUCACGCAUUCACACAAUGUAAGUGGAUGAGUUGGUGGAAACUGAGAAGCUAUGCACUGCAAACUAGCACGAGCGCCCGAAAAGACGACGAACGAGAAAAAAUAUAUACACGCG
This is a non-coding RNA of Caenorhabditis elegans, 139 nucleotides long. NCBI's taxonomy places the organism in Eukaryota, Metazoa, Nematoda, Chromadorea, Rhabditida, Rhabditidae. The record is from Ensembl.